GGAGGCGUGCCGGAGUGGUUGAACGGGCCGCUCUCGAAAAGCGGUAUCUGCCAAAAGCGGAUCGGUGGUUCGAAUCCACCCGCCUCCGCCC
Molecule: transfer RNA, 91 nt
Filed under: bacterium
Lineage: Bacteria
Description: tRNA-Ser
Rfam family: tRNA
About the family: Transfer RNA (tRNA) molecules are approximately 80 nucleotides in length. Their secondary structure includes four short double-helical elements and three loops (D, anti-codon, and T loops). Further hydrogen bonds mediate the characteristic L-shaped molecular structure. tRNAs have two regions of fundamental functional importance: the anti-codon, which is responsible for specific mRNA codon recognition, and the 3' end, to which the tRNAs corresponding amino acid is attached (by aminoacyl-tRNA synthetases). tRNAs cope with the degeneracy of the genetic code in two manners: having more than one tRNA (with a specific anti-codon) for a particular amino acid; and 'wobble' base-pairing, i.e. permitting non-standard base-pairing at the 3rd anti-codon position.
Source: RNAcentral